RNAcentral lists this ribosomal RNA (489 nucleotides) under uncultured bacterium. RNAcentral describes it as "bacterial SSU rRNA". It matches the Rfam family "Bacterial small subunit ribosomal RNA", at positions 31 to 507 of the family's 1533-position model. The record is from RNAcentral.
GAACGCUAGCUACAGGCUUAACACAUGCAAGUCGAGGGGGAAACGAUAUUGGAAGCUUGCUUCUGAUAGGCGUCGACCGGCGCACGGGUGAGUAACGCGUAUCCAACCUGCCCAUCACUUGGGGAUAACCUUGUGAAAGUAAGACUAAUACCCAAUGACGUCUCUAGAAGACAUCUGAAAGAGAUUAAAGAUUUAUCGGUGAUGGAUGGGGAUGCGUCUGAUUAGCUUGUUGGCGGGUAACGGCCCACCAAGGCGACGAUCAGUAGGGGUUCUGAGAGGAAGGUCCCCCACAUUGGAACUGAGACACGGUCCAAACUCCUACGGGAGGCAGCAGUGAGGAAUAUUGGUCAAUGGACGAGAGUCUGAACCAGCCAAGUAGCGUGCAGGAUGACGGCCCUAUGGGUUGUAAACUGCUUUUAUAAGGGAAUAAAGUGGGAGUCGUGACUCUUUUUGCAUGUACCUUAUGAAUAAGGACCGGCUAAUUCCGUG